RNAcentral lists this ribosomal RNA (253 nucleotides) under uncultured bacterium. RNAcentral's name for it is "partial 16S ribosomal RNA". It matches the Rfam family "Bacterial small subunit ribosomal RNA", at positions 524 to 776 of the family's 1533-position model. The record is from RNAcentral.
UACGUAGGUGGCAAGCGUUAUCCGGAUUUACUGGGUGUAAAGGGCGUGUAGGCGGGAAAGCAAGUCAGAUGUGAAAACCAUGGGCUCAACCUGUGGCCUGCAUUUGAAACUGUUUUUCUUGAGUACUUGAGAGGCAGACGGAAUUCCUAGUGUAGCGGUGAAAUGCGUAGAUAUUAGGAGGAACACUAGUGGCGAAGGCGGUCUGCUGGACAGCAACUGACGCUGAGGCGCGAAAGCGUGGGGAGCAAACAGG